Haplochromis burtoni (Burton's mouthbrooder) is the source of this 11796-nucleotide long non-coding RNA. RefSeq lists it as uncharacterized. The record is from RefSeq and is a predicted model, not a curated record. NCBI's taxonomy places the organism in Eukaryota, Metazoa, Chordata, Actinopteri, Cichliformes, Cichlidae. The transcript is spliced from 4 exons.
UAAUAACGGGCUGGGUGUGUGUGUGCGUGUGGGGGUGCAAAGCAGCCUCAGCAAGCCCAGCUCCUUCUUAUGACCCGCCGGCAAAGGUGAUCAUGUUAAUUCAGGAGACGCCCAAUAUUGGCACACAAGCCGAACGAAACCUCCUCAGAGAAACGGGCGCUCAGCAUCAUCAGCAUCCAGUGACGACGUCCAUGAGGAGAUGAAGGUGAGCCAGCCUUUCUGAUCAAAGCACCCGUCUAUAAAGCUCAAGGCUGGCCUUCCUCGGUGGGGAUGUCAACACAUCUACUUCUAAGUCAAGGCAGAGGGAUGGGAAAAGGAGACCGGAAUGACUAGAAGCCCCCGCAGGCAUCUGCCACUCAUCUGCCACUCAACCGAUGCAGAUCCAGUGUGAUUUUUAACUCCUUAAUACUUGAUUGUAUUAUCUCGGGCGUGAUAAAAUAAGUCAGUGUUUCAGCCGAGAGCAACAAAGUGUCAGUCAGAAACUGCAGUGAAGAUAUGCUAAAAGGUUUUCUGUGCUUCUGGCGCAGACAAGCAGAUACAGAGCAGAUUAUGCUUUAUUAGCUGUUCAUGGAGACUUAAUUGUGAGAUCAAAGUUAACAGUGUUCCAUCGGUGCGAGGCAGAGCAGAUUUCAUUAGGCUGAGUAAUAUCAGCGCAAUAAUAGUGUCAUCUGCGCACAGCAAGUUCAGAGGAUCUUAAUAAUAUUUCUGGACAAACUGGAAGAGGAAAUUCAUCCGCACGAAUGGCAAAAUGUCUCCAAGCUUAUAGGAAAACAGUAAUAAACAAGAGAUACAGCGGAAUUUGGCUUGAUGGUUGCACUCUGCAGCUGCCCUGGUCAAUCAGAAAUAUCACACCCAAGACUAAAACAAAUCCACUCAUGCAGAAUCCAGUAACAAAGUAAUAUAAUGGACAUACAUGGGAAAAAAGAUGCAAACGAUCCACAGUUCACAGACCAGGAGGAGGAGUAGCCCGAAAAAUCUGAGGAGAUGAUCUCAAAUCAUUAUGAAGUGUGUUAAAAUCUACUUAAAAGAUCAAAGUGAGCCUAAUUUAUGGUUAAAAACUUAGGUUGAAGAGACACACACACAGUUACAGUGUUUAUGUUGAAUGCUGCAACUUAGGUCCUAAGUGUAUAGCAUAUACCCAGCCCCUUAAUGUAGUAGAAUAUGAUAUAGUGGGCAGUAUUAGGGAUGGUGUGCUUCACCUUGUAAUUAGUAGUGGAGGGAUAAUAGCUGUUUCCUGUGCAUUGCAUCUCUAAGAUAAAGAAACUAUUAUUCAGAUGUUGUGAUUGUUUGCUGCUACUUCCAGAAUUUAAUCUAAGUGCUGUCAUAAAGUUCCCACCAUAUAAAGGAAAAGAAAGAAAAAACACCUGAUUUUAGUUUGGUUAAUCUACCCUAUCUUUAUCCUCGCGCUCUUAGGCAGCUCAAGUGGUGAUGCUAUUUUUAGAUCUUUCCUGGAAGACCCAUUUCAACCACUCGCCCUCAUGCAUUUGCAAUGUGUGCUGCAUCCUUCAGUGGGCAAAAUUGUGGCUCUUAGUAGAGGACAAGUUGGUUUUAGGAUGUUACAGUAGAACUUGGCAUUGAUAGGCUGACCCUGGGGCAUGAAUUUAUGGUUCAGGAUUCUGUGAACGCCAAAAAAACUAGUGAGCAUGCUUCUUGUCAUUCUCCUGACCAAAUGCACCGCCGUUAGGUUUGGACACAUUGAUCGCUUUCACUGAAACCUGCCGUUUUGUGAUAUUGAAUUUAUUUGCUGUCUGCAAACACGGUAUAUCAACUUCAUGGUGAAUGAGGCUUCAAGCAAGUGCUCUAACUAUAUGGAAGAACUGCAGAGGUGCACGAGGGGGUGAUGUUGAAGGGAUAUCAGCCAAAUUUAAAUCAGGUAAUAUUAUUUGAUUUCAUUACUGAGGAGUCAAACAAGUUUGUGAUCUGACUACUGAGGUGUAAGAAUUCCUAAAAGCCCUUUCCCUCAUUAAAAAUAACUUGACUCUAUUAUUUGUGAGGCUGAGGGGGUUACAGCAUCAGUGCUAUGUUGCUAAUUAAAGGCCCAGGACUUCUCCACUGAGAGAUCUUGAAAACACAUCUUGGAAACUUCCUGCGUAACAGAUGUUUGCAGUCAAGUCAAAUGAAAACCACACAGUACUCCUGAAAAAGAUCAAGAAUAGCUGAUUGUUACAGGCCCAUUAUUAAACAUCAGCAUUAACCGUUAUCCAAAAGUUAAAUCAUUCUUAUAUACAGACUAUAGCAGUCAAAACAUGGACCGAAUAUGUGGCAGACUGCCACUGUUGCUUUAGCACUGACCCUACAUGACCCCUCCUCUCACUGACUGGUCUCAGAUGGCUGACUCUUUUUUUCUUUUCUUUUCUUUUUUGUCCUUUUUCACAAACACAUCUAUCAAUUUACACACAUACAUAAGUAGAACUCUCACUUAAACUCAGCUUAAUGCGUUUGGCAGCUCUUUGACCCACUCAGGCACAUAAGCACCCAUCUUCAGAGAAGAAGUGGUGAGUCUGCCUAGCACGGUGCUGAGCCGCUGACCUCAUGAAGCUGUAGGUUAGAUGGUGGGGUUAACACCGGGUCUCCCUCAGCUGCUCCCUGUUAAUAUUGCAUCAGUGGAGUGCUGUUUUAAAGUGUCAGGAAGCCUGAUACCCACUUACCUCACCUUUACAGAGGCAGGAAUCUACGCAGGUGACAAAUUAAAAGAGAAAUCUGAACCACUUCAUCUUGUAGAGCGAGUAUGCCCCCGUUCAAUGGGCAGAAGGGUCACUGAAUGAUUAUCAAAAUUCUCUGACUCAUGUUAUACGGUGUUCACAGUCACUACAACUGAAUUAAAAUGAACACCUGUUGGAGAAAGGAUAUAUUUUCUUUUCCAAAGCCUAUCCAAGUUGUUUUUGGUGUCUAAAUCCAAAGAAGUAGUUUUGAGGUCUAAUUUUUAGCCAGUAAGAGAAAGUGGAAAGAAGAGGCAGUGCGGAUGAAACUAAAAUGCUGAACACAAAGGUCCAAACCUUGUGUCACUUGCUUUACUGCCAGCCCUUCACCCUCCAAGUCUGGACUUGGUCUCUUUGUGAAAGAGGCCUGCUAUCUCUUAGCAUCUAAUACUGGUGCAACCAGUGCAUCAAGGUAUCAACAUCACAGGAAACCUUGUGCGUGUCUCUGCAACAUCAGUGGUAUUUGACAGAACAGCAAUAUUUGACACUCUGUGCUGAAAAUAUUUUGACAUUCCAGUCUCUGGUUGUGUAUGUGACCUUCUUGUAUAUCAUGUGUUGUAUUCUUUGAUUCCAUUUAUAGUUGCUUCAUUGAUUCGCCUCAAAGAUAACAUUUCUUUAAUCUGGAAGCCAGCCAUUUUGCUUUGUCAACACACAUCGCUGCCAGUCUCUUUCUGUGUGUAUGCCCCUUCACAGAGGGCCUUCCACUACCAUCAUUACAGCAAAUGAAGCCAUAUCUCUUUGAAGAAUGUGUCACAGUUUGGUAGAAGCAAUGCGUUGAAGCUGUGCUGUCAACAUACGGUGGCCCAACACCUUAGUAAGGCCCUGGUCACACAGGCUUAGAGACCGGUCAGUGAUUUCAUCAUAACCUUUAGUUGCUAGAGUAAAAUAUGUAUUCCACAACCAGGUGACUUAGGGUUGCUGUAUUGCAAAGAUGUUAAUAUUCUACUAAAAAGCUUCUUGAGAUUACUUUGGUAAUCAACAGGUUUCUGCAGCCACCCAUAGUUUGCAGGGAAAUACCAGUUUGUCUGUGAAAUCUCACCACCUACUCACUAAGCAAUAGUGAAACUAUGAAAAGCACGACCAUUCAGAGUAAAUGUUGCGCUCUACCGCUGCAACCAACAUGUUUGAAAAGGCAACACUUUUACUUUGAGGUCUCCAUUUCCAGCAUUCAUUGAACUCUCAAGUUUCACUACCAGGAACCAGCGAUUAACAAGUGUUUGCAGACAUAUCAGUAUCUUCUAUGUAAUUAUGUUGGACUGCAGCAACUUGUAAGCAACUAAGCAUUUCUUCGGAGGACCAUCAACUGGACUCCAGGCAUGUGUGACGGAGGCAUAAGACGCCUUAAUUUGUCACCCAUGUGUGUAUCUUUGGUCAGUCUGGGUUCCUGCUGGCUGAUACCAGAAGGGAACUCGGUGUUCUGAGUAGUGAGCUGUUAUUUUACUGAUCAUAUAAUGACUUUUUUUUUUUUUGCAAAACAUCAGACCUAAAGGCAAAUGGCCUUCUUGGUAACCUGAUGAUAAUACAUUUUUAGGAUACACUAAGUAUUUGAAUGAAAAACAAGUCAUUACCAUUUGAGAAAAUGUUUGAAGAAAACAGCAGUGGGCUUGCAUGCAUCCUUUAAAAUAUUGCCCUACACCUGCGCAACCAUUGAUGCACAUGCCACCCCUAUUUGACUUCAUUUGUUACACAUGACGGCGCUGCAGCAGGUGUUUCUGUUGUAUACGUGCAGCAAGUGUGUGACCGUGAGGCUAAACUCAAACGGCGGCCAGCGGAAUCAAAGAGCAUAAGAAAGAGGGUGUAGACUGAGGGGAUAAUAGUGUUGUGUCACUCCGUGGUUUGCAGAAAAAAAGAUUAAAUGAGCUUUUAGUAGUCGAGGAAACUGAGGGAAUCAAACACUUCCUGGCUUUAAAGUGGAAACAGCGGAGACUUCCUCCCUCAUAUGCAGGUAGAGGAGGCACCAUCAGGGAGGAACAAAGACGCAGAGUCUAAACACGAGGCUUUACACCAUCACCACCUCUGACUUGGAGGAGACAGAGGAAGCUUGUGUCUGCAUGUGUGCAAGGGGGUGUGUGCGCUAGCUUGUUGGCCUCUCUUGGGGUGGUAACACACACCAUGGUGAUGCGGGAGGGGGUGACCGGCUCAGCGGUGAUUUCUGUGAAGCUCAUUCCACAACCGGUCACAGGGUUAAGUGCCAUAGUCAUACACCCAAAUGCAGACACACACACACACACACACGAACACUGGAGCCAUUGAGUCGAAUGUACAGAGUAGACGCCACUGGAGGGGGUUCCUCUCUCUCUCACUCUCCUUCUGUCUCACACACGCGCACAAACACGCAGACACUCUUACACACACGCAUGAUAAAACGGGAGCUGAAAGGAGAGAGUGACCACACAGGCUGCAGGAGAUUUAUGACCGACAUCCUUUGAUUUCUGCGUAAUUUGGAGCUAUUGUACACACUGCACUGGAGUAAUUAGAACAAUGGUGAAUUCUCCAGUGAGAAGCAGGUUACCUCCCCUAAAUGAUAAAACAAAGAUUGUUUUUAUUUACGUUUAGCUGUAUCUAUCCAUGCAGAAAUCUCAGAUGUGUCAAGAUCUUAUCAUAUUACACAGUGUGUAUGGUAAAUAUCUACUCAUGCAGGCAGAUGCUACUAUCCAAGGAAAAACCAGUAAACAGGUUUCUACUGACUCACGUUGAUGUACGUUGUUCAUGUACGUGCACAACGGCAACACCUGCCACUGUCUCUGAAGGUAGUUGAUGAAAUGUUAUAGUAUUGACGUAGCAUCAGUGUUUUCCUUUUACACUUUCUUUGCUAGCAAUUUCCUGUUCACGCAGUUGUUUUUCCAUUUGCUGAUUUCUUUUGUUUUCAGUCAGCGUUUGGUUAGGUUUAGGCUGAGUCAGAGUGGCAGCUGGUUCAAUUAUUGAUUAAAAGGAAAGGAAAAGUCCUUCAUUGUUCCCCUUCUCAUGUCCUUUAGCAAACCAUACACUGGACUAUCUUUAGUAAAGGAAGGAAAAAAUCCUUUAAAGUGACACGCAAAGAAACAGAGCAUAUAAAUUACUGCUACAAAUAAUGUGUUGUUUUUAUUUUAACAGGUUUAUUACAUUCUUGUCCUGCAUGAAACAUUUUUGGAUUGUGGGUUUAGAAAAGUGCUCUAUAAAUAAAGACCUUAAAAGGAUCAAAGUUAACAGUGUAGCGUAGAAGAAAGCAGCACAGACAUAGCUGAAAAAGUUUUGAAUGAAUUCUGAUAAAAUUUUGUCGAGUGUAGAGUGGGCUCAUGUUAACAAUCCAUUAAAAUCUGAAAUGUCUUCAAUGUCAGCGUAAUGAUUUAUUGGUUGAAAAUAGACAAAAUGCUUUAGAACUUUAGAAAAUAUGAUUCUUUCUGUGAUGUGUGUUAUCAACAUAUAGAAAGUACAGUGUAACAAUUUAAAAUAUCAUGUCAUUUGACCUCUGACCUCUCCUUUAAGGUCAUUAGAUUAACCUUAAGUUCAAAGUCAUAAUAAUGCCAUGUAGAGGUAUUUAAAACUAUGUUUCUCACUGCCUCUGUUUGUAUUAACAACAUAUAGGCAUAUAGGUGAUGAUGUAUGGGGGUUCUAAAUAUCACGUUAUUUUACAAUUUGAAAACAUGGACAAUGUCCCUGAACAGGUUUUGUUAUUAUUUUGGAAAACAAAAUGAAAUUGUCAUCAAAAACCUUUUUUCACUUGAUAUUUAUUACUAAAUAUUUAAAUAAAUGCUACAAAUUUAUUAUAUCCACAUAAAUAAAAUACAAUUAAAAAAAUAACAGAGUGGGCUGCCUUGGCAGAGGUUUGUGUUCUUGGAGUGCUUCUUGUUUCUCUAUAUUUUAAUAGUCUGUUUGGUGUUUUGCUGUUUGGUACAAUAAUGCUGGCAUAUACAAAGAAACUGAAACGCUGGUGUAGCUUGUAUACUGGUGUAACGCUAAUAGUAGUAGGCUUAAAUUUGAGCUGGCUUUGAGGAUUAUCGUUAAUUUAUUUGUCUGGACUUACCUUACCUUUCAUUGUCCAUGUAUCCAGCCUUACAGUGCAUUCUGGUAGUGUGCCGUUGUGUUUCGUGGAAUGGGGGAACAUGUCACUCACUCUUCAUUUGCACAACCUCCUUGGUGUGAAACCUCUAGAAACGUCGAAACGUUGAAAAACUUCGAAAGCGGCCAUUGUUGAGCUAAAAUGAAGAUUGAUGCAGCACCUGCAGGCCUUAUGUCUUGCCUCACGUUUCCAGAAACAUGUCACGCUGGGCUGUUAUUAGAACUUAGAAGAAAGUUUGCAAACGGGCAGCCAUGUUGGUUUCAUUUUGAAAUCAGGCAAAAAGAUCAGCCCAGUCAGGUACUGUUUGUGAGGCUGUAGGAGGCUGUAGGGGAGGGAAAGCACCUGUCAAUCAUUUACCACAUAUGUAGCGGCUUGCACAUCCAGUGCUGGAAACAGAUAUGAUUCAUUGCCUGCAAAAAGGGAAAAAAAGCACAUACACUUUAAGUUGAAAUUACAGAUAACAUCACACCUUUAGGGGCAGGUUACGUAGAAAUUCUAUUUAAAUUGCGGCACUCUUUGUCUCGCUGACAGACCCACAGACAGUUGGAUUGUGGACGUGGUUCUGUGCAGCUCCAGAGAAAGCUAGUAUGGUACUGUAGCUUGGCUGGGCUGCAGAGCAUCUGUCUUUGUGUCUUUGUGUCUGGGGUAAACCCCUGCUGCUGCCGAGCUUUUGUCUCUUCCUGAUCGGCUCUAAUGCUGCAGCACUAAUUGUUUAACACAGAAACACGUCUUUUCUCCCUUUAAUGUUUUUGUUUUUAUUGUCGUCGAUGCAUUUAUUACAAAACCUUUGUGGAUUUUGAACACGAGCCUCUUUCGCCUCUUCUCCUCCUCCUCCUCCUCUCACCCUCCACCACUCUCUUCUUCUUCUUCCUUUUCCUCUCUCUCUCUCUCUCUCUCUCUCUCUCUCUGAUUUUCUCUCUCCAAAAUGCCCGCCCUGAGAAAGGCAAGAAAAAAAAAGAAAAUGUGAACAUCAGCAAAAAAUGGAUGUCUGGCAAGUUGCAUCAUUUUCAGAAACAAACAGUGUGAAACGGUGUUAGCCAGCCUAUUAGCAUAUAUACAUAAAGACCGUGUGUGCGUGCCCGUCUCCAAAAUAAAAGGAAAACACAAAAAGAGGCAAACGUUACUCUCCGCUACCCGUGACGGAGGUUUCUCAAAGAGAUAGAGCUCUGGGUAAACAUGUGAUCGCCACAGAUCCAAUCAGCUCAAACAAAGGGGAUAAGCAAUGGAGCUGGGUGAAUUUUAUCGUGUGUGUGUGUGUGCGCGCGUCUGUGUGUUCACUGUAAUGUAGGUGUGCAUCUAUACUAUGGUGUGCCAUGUUGCUCAUAGUAAAAGUGCAUAAGAAAAGGGAGAAGAGGAAGCCAGGCACCACUGUUAUCAUUUGCAUCAUAAUGGUAAACUGAUAUGAAUAGCGCCGAUGCUAAGCUCUUAACGUGCAUGAAAAUUGCUUACCUUCAAGAAAUGUGUCGCCACUUUCGUGUUUAUGUGCGGGUAUUGUUUUGCGGUUUCAUCAUACUUUUUCCUCACGACACACACACAGAAAAGUCUCACUGAGGUAUUACUGCUUUCUCAAAUUAGCAGCAUGAAUAUGAAUCAGCUUUUCAUUCUAGGUUUGUUACUUUCAAGUGUCAAAUAAACACUGAAACCUUUAGCACGGAAAACAGACAGAGAGAUUAAGUGAUACCGUGAAUACUCUCUUAAGGUUAAAAAAAUCCCACUUUUGUCUUAUGCUUGACCCUGAAUUUUAAGACGCAGGUCCUACCAGAUACUUCUGCCUUGAAAUAUUUUCAAAAGACAUUUAUAAAUUUGAUUUUAGAGAAUUGCACUUGGUUUGUAACAACAUUUAUGGCUGUAAAUCUACAAAGAAACCCGUGACGGGCCAUCCAACAAACCAACAAACAAAAUAAAGACUUGAACAUGACCCCCUAGGUCAGUCGUGCAAGGGUAAUGCUGCAAAAAAAAGCGAUUUUGAGAGUUUAAAUGUACAUUAUAAUGCACCAACUAUGCAAGCAACUUCAAGCUGACUUCAAGUUGACCUCAAAGAAGUGUAACAGGAAUGACACAAUUGGGUCAGACGGAAAGCAAAAGAUGACUUUGCUCACCCCACAUCCGGUUAGCCAGCGCUGUUUCUCAUAUAGCGUGCUAGCAAAGGUCUGUGUAUAUCCUCUUCCACAAUCCGAGGACUGCUGCUGAACAUUUAAUUCUGGAAAACCAUGGAUGUUGUUGUAAGGAAUUUAACUUCACUGUUUCAGCGGCACUUGAAGCCACCAUCGUCGAGAGAUAGCUAACAAGUGAGUUCCUGUUCUUCUUCAAGACAACAGUGCCUGUGCUGUGACGAUGUGUGAAUGUGUAAAAGGAUGUAGGAUGGUCCACUCAAUUCAAUAUUUUUCAUUACAAUUCAAUCUUAUUUAUAUAGCAUAUAGCACACAUUCGAAACUUAGCCUCAGACCCUCGUAACUGAAAACCAUUAGGUUUGUCUUUAGCUUGCUAUUUAUCUAUACUCCCAUAGGGACGUGUAGAUAAAUAAUGUUCAAUUUUGACCUCAAAAUGGAUUCUAGAAGGCACGUGCAUGCAAACACACACAUUUUAUGAGCAAAAUGUACUUUAUGGUACAUUUCUUUGUUAUAUUUUUUUGUAAUUCAUUUUUCAUUAUGGAUUCUUUCCUCGCAAUAUUUUUACAUGGGCGGCAACCCCGGCGCCCUGACGCCAUUGUUAGUAUUUAUAUUUAUGUUUGGCAUGCUCCACAAUUCCUCUGCCAAAGCACUAGUCGGUGAAGAGGUUUCUCUCUCUGAGUCAGUCCCUUCCAGUCAACUUGAAACAUAACAUAGAAUAACAUCUUAGACCCAGCAGUUAUCUGUUGUUUUAUAUUAAUAAAAGAAGUAUAAAUAGACCGAGCAAACAUUUAAACAUCUAGUUUGUUAGUUGUGCACGCUCCUACUCGUAUAUAUGGUCAUAAACAAAAGCUUCUGAACUGAUAAAUAUGACAUCAUAUAAUUCAGUGGAUCACAUUUUAUUAUUUUCCUGUCCAAAAUUAGAUGAAAUAUGUAUGUAUUUUUCUUCUUUUGAUAUUUUGUUUAAAUUUGCAUGUAAAACGUUUUCUAACCGCAAUCUGAAAAGAGUCCCUGAAGUUUCUUAUCCAAUCAUUUAAAACUUUAGAGGACACAUGCAAAGAAACUGAGUGUUUAACAAUGGGAUCAACCCCACCCCCUUGCCCUCCCUCUUCUCACCCAACCAUCCCAUCCUUUCUCUAUGGUUUCCACCUCUGCCUCCUCCUUCCAUCAUCUCCCCAGGAGGCUCCAGAGGCCCUGUACAUCCCAGAUAAGACCUUCUCAGAGGGAGAAAAGAGGAGGUGGUGGAGGGGGGUAGAAUGGGUGGUGAUGGUGGAGAAGGAGAGGGGCUUCAGGGUCACCACAAUGGCACGCUCCUGAUAGCGCUAUCAGCUUAUGCUAAUCACCAGCUAAGUGUUUCAGGACGAGAGGGAGCGGCAGGGCGCUAUCCUAAAACAUGCGCCUCCUACUUAACCUGCGCCAUAUCGUGAUGAGCCCCAGCUCAUUCAAACAGCCGCCUCUCUUUAUUUAACGAGUGACGACAGUGACAAGGCACAGAGAGAGAGAGAAACGGUCCAAAUUGAUUAAUCGUGUCACAAAUUGAUGUUAAGCGCUGUCGCAGAUACGGCCCUUCUCUCUUUUUUUUGACCAACUUGGCUUUUUGAGGGUAUUGUUCUGCCAAUAAUGGCGAGGAUGGGAGGGGUUGUCGGAGCCGCUUCCGAUGUCUGGCUCGAUGGCGUGAAUACAGAGCGAGUGUGUAAUUUAAUGUAAGGCGCCAUUGUUACCUGGGCUUACUGUACAUGACAGGUGAAAGAUAAAGAAGUGUGCAGGCCAAGCUCCUCUCAACCUAUAUUUCAAGAUGAAAAACCUGGCUGAUAAAUGCACCUCAGGAACAGAAGAUUUAGAUAAAAGUCUCUGCGAAACUAAUGGGAGACUUCAGUGUCUCAGUGAAGCAUUUACGCGCCACCAAAAGAGAAGGAUGAGACCUUUUUGCUCAAUCACUUAGUGCGUUCAUCUUGAAUCUUUCCUCUUGCUCUACACAGGCUUUCAGUCUUUUUCAAACUGAUUUAUAUUCAUCUCACCCUCCCUCUGAUGAUUUCAGUAAAACUUAUUUCCCGUGAAACUUCCUCACUAUAUCUGCCAGUGCAGUGUGGGAUCAGAACUGUGUGAGGGGGGAUACAAUUAAAUCUUCAUUUAAAGAAAAAACAGAAGUUAUUUAAGUGAUUUACUGACUUUUCCAGAGCAGUGAUGGGCUCAGGAAUCUGAUUUCUGAUCAAACAGACAAAUCCAUCUGCUUACUUUUAACCAGUUUGUUGUUUUUAACUAAGCAGCUACCUGUGUGGUCAAAAGUUCCUCAAAUGGCCACUUGAGGCUGGCUCAAAAAUGAGUCAACUUCCAAAGACUUCAAUGUUAAAAUGUCCAGAUUUAUAGUGUAGUUAUAGCCUUGAUAAAAUCCGGUCAAAUUACAGUAACUUUCAUAACAGCUUUACCCAGCUACUGUCUGUUAGGCCUCACCUACUCUAUUUAGAGUCACUGACAUCAACCUCUCCACCAGGUUUGCACUGUUGGUGGCUUUUGGAGCAUUUUUAAUGCUCAAACAGUUGCUGCUCUUGCUGUGUGGUGCAAAAAUGUCCAAGAGGUCUGUGUUUCAGUCAUGGUGAGUCAAUUUUCUUUCUCGACCAUAAAAGGUUGAUGGGGUAUUUUUAUCACCUGGCCGGGCAGCAAGGACACUUUGUGAACAUGGUAACUCGAGAUGUAGGAUUUUCAAAUUAAGACCUUAGGUGCAGCUACUAGAACUCUCAUACAAUUUUAAAUUUCAGUGACCUUGACCUCAAGGUCAAGAUCAAAGGUCAUGUUCUUCAAAAUGAUUGCAAAAACUCAGCUAGGAUUUUCAAAUUUGUAACAUAGGUGCAUCCACUAGGAGGCUGAGGUGUAGCAUGAACAACAAUAUAACUUUAUGGGUCACCACAGUGGCUCAUCUGCCUCCACCUCACCCCAUCUUGAAUGUCCUACU